Molecule: long non-coding RNA, 1426 nt
Organism: Vombatus ursinus (common wombat)
Lineage: Eukaryota; Metazoa; Chordata; Mammalia; Diprotodontia; Vombatidae
Exons: 2
Source: RefSeq, a predicted model, not a curated record
CAGGGGGUGUUUCUAAGAGAAAAAUAUAAACCCCCAAAGCAUGUACAGACGACGGCAAGGCUUUAUUUCCUUGGCUUUUCUAGUGGAAUUGUGGCGAGGCUCUCCUUCCAGCCCUCAGUCCCUGGAAGCAAGAAAGACGCCGGGGGAGAGGGAGACUAGGGUUCGAGAGGGGCACCAGGCCAGUUGGCUGGAGGAGCGCUCUGCUAAAAGAGUGAUUUUCUCUUGUCACCCGCCCGGUCAAUUUGCAGUACCUACUACGUUCUAUUGGCAGUCCUCCGUACCUUAGGGAUGGCCACUUAUAAUAGUCGAAUGUAAUAAUGACCAGUAUCGCUGUAGGGAAAGAAAAGAUGUCAGCCACCACUGACCCGAGCGAUGUCCGCAGCGGGCUCCGGGGAGGUCGCUCGCGGGUAACUUACUGCAGCCCGGGGAAAAGCAGCCGACAGUUAGCCGGCCGGGCGGAUUUUAAAUUCGAAUUCUUGGUACAGGCGCGUAAAGGGGAAGCAGUUGUAGUUGCUCUUGGCGCUAUGUUCCAGUAAAUUUGACUGGCACAGCUAGCACCCAUUUUUCUUCGAUCGGUCACCCCCAAAUCUUCGAGUUAUGUGGCUUGUCUUCACGCAAGAACUUGGAUACUUAGAGAGGACACUACUACAAACUCCUCGCCUCUUCCUUUCUCGCGCCACCACUCCUCCUAAGAGCUGGUAGCGAAUAGACCUGGUAGAAUUUUUUAAAACCUUACUGUUUGAUAGUUAGACAUUCUUGAAUAAUAAGCCGUCUUUUAUUUAAGUGGAGGCAAGAGUUCUGAAGCAUACUACGGAAUUUCUCAGCAAAAUAAGGUUUGCCUCAGCCUCCAAAAACCCAGAAGUGGUGUGACACAAGAAGAAGGAUCCAAAUAAGUGAAUUGCACAGGCCACUUCAUCCUACUUCUAACCUCUUCUUCGAAUCACUGGAGCUCCGUUUAUUCUCAAAUGAAAAGAUGAAACCAUUUCUUUCCCCUUCUUCCCUCUGGUCCACACAGUGCCUUUAUUUGAAACCACUGAAAAAUGAUAAAACCUUAAAACUCCUCUGCUGGGGCACGGAACAACCACAGCCCUUAUUUAGAGCUGAAAAAAAUCUCAUCUUCCAAUCAAGUUUUUGUGACGGCUCAUAAGAGGAUGAUCUCCCUUUCACCAGGAACUACCUCCAGGAUAAGAAGUCCUCAUCCAGGAUGCUACCCUUCACUCCGUAGUAACUGCUUCAUUUGUCUAAAGAAAAGGUCUGUCUGAUGGAGAAAACUUGAUGAAACUCAACGACCCUUUCCCCUACGCCAUACCUAUUCUUUCAACCCCAGAAAAUGUGGGGGGGGGGGCCUGAAAUACCCUUAACAAACUAGCAAACUUCUUAUCCAUAGCAAACUAAUAAAUAAAAUGUGUUGAGGAGCUUGCAGAGA